This 253-nucleotide ribosomal RNA is filed under the name uncultured bacterium. Its description in RNAcentral is "partial 16S ribosomal RNA". It matches the Rfam family "Bacterial small subunit ribosomal RNA", at positions 524 to 776 of the family's 1533-position model. The record is from RNAcentral.
UACAGAGGUCUCAAGCGUUGUUCGGAUUCAUUGGGCGUAAAGGGUGCGUAGGCGGCCAGAUAAGUCCGCUGUGAAAUCUCGAGGCUCAACUUCGAGCUGUCGGUGGAAACUGUCUGGCUAGAGUCCGGAAGAGGAGAAUGGAAUUCCCGGUGUAGCGGUGAAAUGCGCAGAUAUCGGGAAGAACACCCGUGGCGAAGGCGGCUCUCUGGGACGGUACUGACGCUGAGGAGCGAAAGCGUGGGGAGCGAACAGG